CAAUCUAUGUAAUAAAUUGUUUGAGUUAUUUUAUUUUGUGAAAGAAUAUUUAGUAGUAGAUUGGAUGUAGCUGCAUCAAGAUUCAUAUUUUUUAAUGAAAACAAAAAAAAUGGGUCCAACGUGUGUUUGAAAAGUAAGGGUUUUUGUUUAUAUUGCAAGCAUGGAAUAAAGUAGUUGAGAUUUGUUUGGGUUGAUAGACCAGGCUAUAUAAUUUUCUAUAUGACAACUUCAUUCUAGCUUCCUAUUCUUCCACACCGACUAUUCGACUUUCUUAGAAACAAGAAAACUAGCUCACAAGUAUGUAUUAUAUACUUUCGAGACACUACAUUGUCUUUUGUUCAUGAUUUUUUUGUUUUCUGUAUUGAACUCCGAUUUCUUGUAAUGGCUAAGUGGGAUACUUUGUCCACCAGAAACCUGGUGUAAGAAGUAGCACACAUUGAAAAUGGGUCGCAUCCUAGAAAUUGCAUAUCUCUUCUCCAUUUAAUUGUAAGUCUCUAAACUAAAUCACAAGCAUUAUUUGUUUAUUUGUUAGCAAACGAGGACUGAAAAUAGGAUGUGGUUGUUUUGGUGGUUUUAUCGGUUAUCCUUGCAAGGUACAAAGUCAUUGCAAUAAGUUAUAGGAAAGUUUGGCUUUUACUAUUUGAUAUGUGAUUGAAAAAUUUGAGAUGGGUUUAAGUUGCAUAGCUAAGAUGUUAUUCAAAAAUUUUCAUCGGUCUGUAUUGUUAACUUAUCUCUAGUCAUUCUCAUAAGAUUCGAACAUACAUAGUGUGCCACUGUCGAUGCAUAGCCACUACAUAGUGAUGGCGAGCAUAUGUGUAAAUUUUGAAAGAGGUUUUAAAUUACAUAGCCCAUCAUAUUCAACAUAAAAGUGGGUGUGUUUUUAAGUAUAGGAAAUGAAAAUUCUAUUACUUAUUUCAUUUAUUCAUUGUUGUUGUUUAGAUUGCCCAUCAUGUGUUGCUGGCCAAGUGUUGGACCCAUUGAUACUUGAUGGUGGUCAUUGUAGCUAUGUUAGACCUCUACUUCUUGUUAUCAAAUUAUUAUAUGUUCAACUAUCCAAUUACACCGUAAGGAUGGAAAUAAACUUUACAAUAAAUUUUGUUGCUUCUUUGGAUGUGUCUCCCACUCAGGUGGAUCCUAUAGCAAGAUGGGGUGGAAAUGUUAUUGUAAAAAAUGUGGAUGCCCCUGUCCAUAUUUGUCAAAAAAUGUGGCUGCUUGGGUUUCAGUCAUGACCAUAUUUGUACUAUUUCUCCUUCCUAAGACAAAGAAUGUGCCAAUUGAAGAAAAUGAUAUUGGUUGUGGAAGAAAUAUUUGAGAGAUGUUGAUUUAACUGAUGAUGAAGCAGGAGAUGCCUAUCCCAAACAUGAAAGUGGGUGGUUUUGCAUUCAGAUCAACUAUACUUUUUUCUUCUAAUAGUUUGCCUUUCUUAACUCCAUGGUUUCAACUACAUAACCUUCUAGUUCUUAUUGCUAUUGCGAUACUCUUCUUCUUCUUCUUCUUCUUCUUCUUCUUCUUCUUCAUAUUGAUGUCUACUCAGAGGUUGUUGUGUAUAUACUAAGCCAAAGCCUCCUCCAGGAUUGUAAGCUGCUAAAAAUGGAUUGUAAGAUGCUAAAAAUAGCUCUAUCUAGUUAUGUGAAUUUUGAUUUUA
Long non-coding RNA from Cryptomeria japonica (Japanese cedar), 1645 nucleotides. RefSeq lists it as uncharacterized. The transcript has 2 exons. NCBI's taxonomy places the organism in Eukaryota, Viridiplantae, Streptophyta, Pinopsida, Cupressales, Cupressaceae. The record is from RefSeq and is a predicted model, not a curated record.